CGGAGGUGUUGCUAACAUUUACGAUAGCAAAUUUCAAUUUGCAAAAAAAUGAACGACUGCGUUUUGGUCUUUUGAGCUUCUAGUCAUGAAAUCUAUGCAGCCUACUCAAUCACUUUUUAUAGCUACUGGUUACAGGCCUCCUGGGCCAUAUACAGCGUUCCUCACUGAGUUCCCUGAAUUCCUAUCGGACCUUGUAGUCAUGGCAGAUAAUAUUCUAAGUUUUGGUGAUUUUAAUAUUCACAUGGAAAAGUCCACAGACCCACUCCAAAAGCCUUACUGAUCCAUCAUCAACUCAGUGGGUUUUGUCCAAUAUGUCUCCGGACCUACUCACUGCCACAGUCAAACUCUGCACCUAGUUUAUCCCGUGGAACAAAUGUUGUGUAUCUUAAUGUUUUUCCUCAUAAUCCUGGACUAUCGGACCACCAACAAAUAAUCUGCUCAGACCCCAACCAAGGAUCAUCAAAAGUUGUGCUAUAAAUUCUCGGACAACCCAAAGAUUCCUAGAUGCCCAUCCAGACUCCCUCCAUCUACCCAAGGAUGUCAGAGUACAAAAAUCAGUUAACCACCUAACUGAGGAACUCAAUUUAACCUUGCGUAAUACCCUAAAUGCAGUCGCACAAAAAAACAUUUGUCAUAAGAAACUAGCUCCCUGGUAUACAGAAAAUACCGGAGCACUGAAGCAAGAAAAUUGGAACGGAAAUGGCGCUACACCAAACUAGACGUCUUCCGCCUAGCUUGGAAAGACCGUACCGUGCAGUAUCGAAGAGCCCUCACUGCUGCUCAAUCAUCCUAUUUUUCUUAAUUGAGGAAAAUAAGAACAAUCCAAUAUUUAUAUUUUAUACUGUCGCAAAGCUAUCUAAAAAGCAACAUUCCCCAAAAGAGGAUGGCUUUCACUUCAGCAGUGAUACAUUUGAUGAAAAGAUCAUGAUCAUUAGAAAGCAAAUCUGCGUAUUCCUCCAAAGCUCAGUUGUCCUGAGUAUGCACACAACUGCAACUAGGAUCAACAACUAGGAUCAAGGGAGACACUCAGGUUUUUUAAUACUAAUAAUCAUGGCCUCUAAAUGUUUAAGCUGCAUGCUGGACCCUAUUCCAACUAAACUACUGAAAGAGCUGCUUCCUGUGCUUGGCCCUCCUAUGUUGAACAUAAUAAACGGAUCUCUAUCCACCGGAUGUGUACUGAACUCACUAAAAGUGGCAGUAAUAAAGCCUCUCUUGAAAAAGCCAAACCUUGACCCAGAAAAUAUAAAAUAACUAUCGGCCUAUAUCGAAUCUCCCAUUCCUCUCCAAAGAAAAUGUAAAAGUUGUUGCACAGCAACUCACUGCCUUCCUGAAGACAAACGAUGUAUACAAAACGCUUCAGUCUGGUUUUAGACCCCAUCAUAGCACUGAGACUGCACUUGUAAAGGUGGUAAAUGACCUUUUAAUGGUGUCAGACCGAGGCUCUGCACCUGUCCUCGUUCUCCUAGGCCUUAGUGCUGCUUUUGAUACCAUCGAUCACCACGUUCUUUUGGAGAGAUUGGAAACCCAAAUUGGUCUACAUGGACAAGUUCUGGCCUGGUUUAGAUUUUAUCUGUCGGAAAGAUAUCGGUUUGUCUCUGUAGAGGGUUUGUCCUCUGACAAAUCAACUGUAAAUGUCGGUGUUCCUGAAGGCUUCGAUUUAGGACCACUAUUGUUUUCACUAUUUAUUUUACCUCUUGGUGAUGUCAUUCGGAAACAAUGUUAACUUUCACUGCUAUGCGGAUGACACACAGCUGGACAUUUCGAUGAAACUUGGUGAAGCUCCAAAAUUGCCCUCCCUGGAAGCCUGUGUUUCAGACAUAAGGAAGUGGAUGGCUGCAAAUGUUUUACUUUUAAACUCAGACAAACAGAGAUGCUUGUUCUAGGUCACAAGAAACAGAGACAUCUUCUGCUGAAUCUGACAAUUAAUCUUGAUGGUUGUACAGUCGUCUCAAAUAAAACUGUGAAGGACCUCGUCGUUACUCUGGACCCUGAUCUCUCUUUUGACGAACAUAACAAAACUAUUUCAAGGACAGAUUUUUUCCAUCUUCGUAAAAUUGCAAAAAUCUGAAACUUUCUGUCCAAAAAUUAUGCUGAAUAAUUUAUCCAUACUUUUGUCACUUCUAGGUUAGCCUACUGCAAUGCUUUACCUUCCGGCUACCCGGAUAAAGCACUAAAUAAACUUCAGUUAGUGCUAAACACGGCUGCUAGAAUCUUGACUAGAACCAAAACAUGUGAUCAUAUUUCUCCAGUGCUAGCCUCUCUACACUGGCUUCCUGUUAAGGCUACACGGGCUUGCUCCUACCUAACUUUCCAAUUUGGUCCUGCCGUACAUACCUACACGUACACUACGGUCACAAGACGUAGGCCUCCUUACUGUCCAUAGAAUUUCUAAGCAAACAGCUGGAGGCAGGGCAUUCUCUUGUAGAGCUCAAUUUUUAUGGAAUGGUCUGCCUAUCCAUGUGAGAGACGCAGACUCGGCCUCAACCUUUAAGUCUUUAUUGAAGACUCAUCUCUUCAGUAGGUCCUGUGAUUGAGUGUAACCUGGCCCAGGGGUUUGAAGGUGAAUGGCACUGGAGCAACGAACCGCCCUUGCUGUCUCUGCCUGGCCGGUUCCCCUCACUCCACUGGGAUUCUCUGCCUCAAAGCCUAAUACGGGGCUGAGUCACAGGCAUUCUGGUGCUCUUCCAUGCCGUCUCUAGGAGGGGUGCAUCACUUGAGUGGGUUGAGUCACUGAUGUGAUCUACCUGUCUGGGUUGAUGCCGAACCUUGGGUUCGUGCCGUGGGGGAGAUCUUCGUGGGCCAUACUCGGCCUUGUCUCAGGACAGACCUGAGCCCUAGGACCAUGCCUCAGGACUACCUGUCCUGAUGAAUCCUUGCUGUCCCCAGUCCACCUGGUCGUGCUGCAGCUCCAGUUCAAACUGUUCUGCCUACGGCUAUGGAACGCUGACCUGUUCACCGGACGUGCUACCUUGUCCCAGACCUGCUGUUUUCAACUCUCUAGAGACAGCAGGAGCGGUAGAGAUACUCUGAAUGAUCGGCUAUGAAAAGCCAACUGACACUUACUCCUGAGGUGCUGACCUGUUGUACCCUCUACAACCACUGUGAUUAUUUUUAUUUGAACAUGCUGGUCAUCUAUGAACAUUUGGACAUCUUGGCCAUGUUAUGUUAUAAUCUCCACCCGGCACAGCCAGAAGAGGACUGGUCACCCCUCAUAGCCUGGUUCCUCUCUAGGUUUCUUCCUAGGGUUCUGGCCUUUCUAGGGAGUUUUUCUUAGCCACCGUGGUUCUACACCUGCAUUGCUUGCUUUUGGGGUUUUAGGCUGGGUUUUUGUACAGCACUUUGUGACAUCAGCUGACGUAAGAAGGGCUUUACAAAUAAAUCUGAUUGAAAGGGAAGCACAGCCGCGAGCUGCCCAGUGACACGAGCCUACCAGACGAGCUAAACUAUUUCUAUGCUCGCUGAAACAUGCAUGAGAGCACCAGCUGUUCCCGGAAGACUGUGUGAUCACGCUCUCCGCAGCCAAUGUGAGUAAGACCUUUUAAACAGGUCAACAUUCACAAGGCCGCAGGGCCAGACGGAUUACCAGGACGUGUCUUCGCUGAUAUUUUCAACCUCUCCCCUGUCCGAGUCUGUAAUACCAACAUGUAUUAAGAAGACCACGAUAGUGCCUGUGCCCAAGAACACUAAGGUAACCUACCUAAAUGACUACCAACCCGUAGCAUUCACGUCUGUAGCCAUGAAGUGCUUUGAAAGGCUGGUCAUGGCUCACAUCAACAUCAUUAUCCAAGAAACCCUAGACCUGCUCCAAUUUGCAAACCAACCCAACACAUCCACAGAUGAUGCAAUCUUUAUUGCACUACACACUGCCCUUUCCCACCUGGACAAGAGGAACACCUAUGUGAGAAUGCUAUUCAUUGACUACAGUUCAGCGUUCAAUACCAUAGUGCCCUCAAAGCUCAUCAAUAAGCUAAGGACACUGGGACAAAACACCUCCCUCUGCAACUGGAUCCUGGACUUCCUGACAGGCCGCCCCCAGGUGGUAAGGUUAGGUAGCAACACAUCUGCCACGCUGAUCCUCAACACAGGAGCCCCUCAGGGGUGCAUACUCAGCCCCUUCUGUACUCCCUGUUCACUCAUGACUGCACGGCCAGGCAUGACUCCAACACCAUCAUUAAGUUUGCACAGUGGUUGGCCUGAUCACCGACAACGACGAAACAGCCUAUAGGGAGGAGGUCAGAGACCUGGCUAUGUGGUGCCUAUCAUCCAGGACCUCUAUACCAGGCGGUGUCAGAGGAAGGCCCUAAAAAUUGUCAAAGACUCUAGUCGCCCUAGUCAUAGACUUUUCUCUCUGCUACCGCACGGCAAGCGGUACCGCACUUCCAAGUCUAGGUUCAAGAGGCUUCUAAACAGCUUCUACCCCCAAGCCAUAAGACUGCUGAAUAGUUAAUCAAAUGGCUACCCCGACUAUUUACAUUGCCCACUCCUCACACCCUCUCUUUUAACGCCCCUGCUACUCUCUGUCAUUAUAUAUGCAUCGUCACUUUAAUAACUCUACCUACAUGUACAUAUUACCUUAAUUCCCUUGACUAAUUUAGUCUCUUAGAGACUAUAUAGUCUCGCUAUUGUUAUUUUACUGCUGCUCUUUAAUUACUUGUUACUUUUCUUUGCUUAUUCUUAUCCGUAUUUUUUUUAUACUGCAUUGUUGGUUAGGGGAUGGUAAGUAAGCAUUUCACUAUAAGGUUUACACCUGCUGUAUUCGGCGCAUGUCACUAAUACAAUUUGAUUUGAUUUGAGGUCCCGUGUUGGACAUGCGUAAAAACCCCUCCAUGAUGUAGGCUAUGUGUUCAUUUCCAUCAUGAAACAAGAGAUGAGAACCUCUGGUGAAUACCAGUUAAAAGUGAUCUGUAAUCUGUAAAAAUGACUUGUUUUCCAUUUUAUAUGUUCAAAAUCCAAGCCCUCCCUUUGGCCUACUAUAAGGCUGGUUCAACAGCAAUGCGUGUCUUUUUUAUGCUGCCGAUUUUAUGAUAUCAGUACAUUUGACAUGUAUUUAUUGUUGACGCUGUUAAAAUGUUAUUACAACCAAACUUAUUCGAAUGAUUCACCUUCCUGGUAUUAUGGUGACAACGUCCGUGGUGCGCUUGCAAUGCAACUUCUGGAGAUGUGUGAAUGCGAUUUGAUCUGUUAGAUGUUUCCAAUUAUGUUCAUAAAGCAUAUGCCUAUUUGGGAGCAGUAUAACAGUGAAUGGACAUUCUCCUUUACCAUUUAUAUUGGAUCUUUGUCCAGCUACUGGGAGAAGUUUGGAUGUGCAUAAAAGCCAUCCAUAGUCUGUGUUGUUUAAAUAUUAUAUAGCCACGGAGAGAAAUGAUGGUGCCUGUAAGUAUGACAGCCUAUUUAAAAAUAUUUGUUCUCUUGUUAGGCCUUAUCAAUAAUUAAUUGAAUCUUGCGUUUUGACAAUGUUUGGCAUGUUCAUGCUCAGCCAUAAUGCAAUUUACAGUAUGCCUUACCCCUAUAUCCGUGUGAAUGCUAUUGAAGCCAUGCAAUUACUUACGGUAGAACAAUGUGGACUGCAAAUGGGUUCAAGUUAAGGUAUUUAGUAAAGAUAGGUCUACAUUUUGUGAUUUUCUUUCUGUUUAACAAACUAUAACAGACCAACAUUGGAAUUACAGUUGAUUCCAAGUCAAUGCAUAAAAGACCUUAAAUACACAACUUGAAGCAACCACAUAUUUUGCCAUGGAGCAAGCUUCGGCACACCCACAACUUGUUUAUUCAUCAAAACACAGCCCUUUCGCACCAACGCCAGCAAGUGGGCUGGUAAUUGUGAUCGUGAAAAUAGCAUAACUCUACUGCCUGCGCUUAGAUUUACCAUUGCGUUAGAUUUGUGAAAAUAGAGCCCAUAGUCUUUCCAUAUUCCACAGGUCUUAUCAAAUUGCAAUUUAAUAUUCACCCACAGCACAAUAUUGCUGUAUUUUCAUUUUCCGCUGUUCAAAUAAGAACUGUAAAGAGAGAUAAUAAUGAAUAUUAUAUGGAUAUAGUUUAGAAUUGCAAUUUACCACAGUCUAACGUGUACUCAGCAACCAUUUGUCAUUUCUGAAUCAGUCUCACUGUAGGAGUAACCUUUUACAGUGGUUUGAUAUGCAAUAUUUUAUUGUAGUACUGAUUUAAAUGCGUCUUGUGUGCCUGGCACCUAAUUUGUAUUAAUCUCACGGUAGCACAUUUAUCAAUGGUUUCCAUUUCUUUGCAGACUAUGCUUUCUCUGUUUUUUUAUUACUCUUAUCAUUUGUAUUAAAAUAAAUGGACAAAAUAAAGAUGGUCACACACUCUAAA
Salvelinus fontinalis (brook trout) is the source of this 6324-nucleotide long non-coding RNA. RefSeq lists it as uncharacterized. The record is from RefSeq and is a predicted model, not a curated record. The transcript is spliced from 2 exons. NCBI's taxonomy places the organism in Eukaryota, Metazoa, Chordata, Actinopteri, Salmoniformes, Salmonidae.